Molecule: unclassified non-coding RNA, 406 nt
Filed under: soil metagenome
Description: partial contains 5.8S ribosomal RNA, internal transcribed spacer 2, and large subunit ribosomal RNA
Rfam family: 5.8S ribosomal RNA (bases 1-121)
Source: RNAcentral
GAUGAAGAACGUAGCGAAAUGCGAUAAGUAAUGUGAAUUGCAGAAUUCAGUGAAUCAUCGAAUCUUUGAACGCACCUUGCGCCCUUUGGCUAUUCCGAAGGGCAUGCCUGUUUGAGUAUCAUGAACACCUCAACUCUUCAUGGUUUUCCAUGAUGAGCUUGGACUUUGGGGGUCUUGCUGGCCUGUGGGUCGGCUCCUCUCAAAUGAAUCAGCUUGCCGGUUUUUGGUGGGCAUCACAGGUGUGAUAACUAUCUACGCUUGUGGUUUUCCACCAGGGUAACCUUCAGCAGUGGAGGUUCACUGGAGCUUACAAAUGUCUCUCCUCUGUGAGGACAGCCCUUUGAAUGUUUGAUCUCAAAUCAGGUAGGACUACCCGCUGAACUUAAGCAUAUCAAUAAGCGGAGGA